AGAGUUUGAUCCUGGCUCAGAACGAACGCUGGCGGCAGGCUUAACACAUGCAAGUCGAACGCGUGUAGCAAUACACGAGUGGCGCACGGGUGAGUAACGCGUGGAUAUCUGUCUUUUGGUUCGGAAUAACCCCGGGAAACUGGGGCUAAUACCGGAUGGUUCCUUCGGGAUAAAGAUUUAUCGCCAAAAGAUGAGUCCGCGUCCGAUUAGCUAGUUGGUGAGGUAAUGGCUCACCAAGGCGACGAUCGGUAGCUGGUCUGAGAGGACGAUCAGCCACACUGGGACUGAGACACGGCCCAGACUCCUACGGGAGGCAGCAGUGGGGAAUAUUGGACAAUGGGGGCAACCCUGAUCCAGCCAUGCCGCGUGAGUGAUGAAGGCCUUCGGGUUGUAAAGCUCUUUUGGCGGGGACGAUGAUGACGGUACCCGCAGAAUAAGCCCCGGCUAACUUCGUGCCAGCAGCCGCGGUAAGACGAAGGGGGCUAGCGUUGUUCGGAAUUACUGGGCGUAAAGCGCGUGUAGGCGGUUAUCCAAGUCGGGUGUGAAAGCCUUGAGCUCAACUCAAGAAAUGCAUUCGGUACUGGGUGACUAGAGGACCGGAGAGGAUAGUGGAAUUCCCAGUGUAGUGGUGAAAUACGUAGAGAUUGGGAAGAACACCAGUGGCGAAGGCGGCUAUCUGGACGGUUUCUGACGCUAAGACGCGAAAGCGUGGGGAGCAAACAGGAUUAGAUACCCUAGUAGUCC
RNAcentral lists this ribosomal RNA (744 nucleotides) under uncultured bacterium. RNAcentral's name for it is "bacterial SSU rRNA". It matches the Rfam family "Bacterial small subunit ribosomal RNA", at positions 8 to 796 of the family's 1533-position model. The record is from RNAcentral.